Molecule: unclassified non-coding RNA, 529 nt
Filed under: Hevea brasiliensis (rubber tree)
Lineage: Eukaryota; Viridiplantae; Streptophyta; Magnoliopsida; Malpighiales; Euphorbiaceae
Source: RNAcentral
GAGAAUUUACCAUUAAAUUGCACAACGCUAGAAAAAUAAACACCGCACAGAUAUGCUCCGCGCAUAAUUUCAUGGUGGAAUUUACUGUAUAAGCAUCACACACAUUCUGUGAAGGCCCAACAAUAGGCAACUCAAUUCAGGAACUUCAAGAAAGUAUUAAAAUUUGGCUUGUUUAGUUGGCCAUUAUACUUAACUUUUUGGGAAGUAAAGGCUCUUAAUUUCUUCACUUCCCAUGAAGUAAUUUACUUACCCCAACCUAGUUAAAUUACUUCCAAAGACGUGAACUUUUCAGGAAGUAACUCAUUUGUAUCAACCAAGGUCUAAGAAUUUUUCCAGACGAACUGCAUAUGAAGUCAGAAUCAAUAACAAGGAAUGACAAUGCAUUUCAUGCUGAGGAUUAUACAUUAAUGUUUUCCAGGGAUGCCCCCUUCCCAUGAGAAAAGCUUACAUUCAUGGGACUGAAGGUAUGCUCUAUCCAAUAUCGUGCAUAUAACUGUUUCUGAUGCAAGAUAAACGUAUAAUGAAUUCA